RNAcentral lists this ribosomal RNA (253 nucleotides) under uncultured bacterium. RNAcentral describes it as "partial 16S ribosomal RNA". It matches the Rfam family "Bacterial small subunit ribosomal RNA", at positions 524 to 776 of the family's 1533-position model. The record is from RNAcentral.
UACAGAGGGGGCAAGCGUUAUUCGGAAUUAUUGGGCGUAAAGGGCGCGUAGGCGGCUUGAUGUGUCAAAGGUGAAAUCCCUCGGCUCAACUGAGGAACUGCCUUUGAAACUGUCUGGCUUGAGGCCGGGAGAGGGUAGCGGAAUUCCCAGUGUAGCGGUGAAAUGCGUAGAUACUGGGAGGAACACCGGUGGCGAAGGCGGCUACCUGGACCGGUUCUGACGCUGAUGCGCGAAAGCGUGGGUAGCAAACAGG